RNAcentral lists this ribosomal RNA (478 nucleotides) under uncultured bacterium. RNAcentral describes it as "partial 16S ribosomal RNA". It matches the Rfam family "Bacterial small subunit ribosomal RNA", at positions 28 to 507 of the family's 1533-position model. The record is from RNAcentral.
GAUGAACGCUGGCGGCGUGCUUAACACAUGCAAGUCGAACGGGAAACCUUUUAUUGAAGCUUCGGCAGAUUUAGCUGGUUUCUAGUGGCGGACGGGUGAGUAACGCGUGGGCAACCUGCCUUAUACAGGGGGAUAACAACCAGAAAUGGUUGCUAAUACCGCAUAAGCGCACAGGACCGCAUGGUCCGGUGGGAAAAACUCCGGUGGUAUAAGAUGGCCCUGCGUUGGAUGAGCUGGUUGGCAGGGUAACGGCCUAGUAAGGCGACGAUCCAGAGCCGGGAUGAGAGGGUGACCGGCCACAAUGGGACUGAGGCACGGACCAGACUGCUACGGGAGGCAGCAGUAGGGAAUAUUGCACGAUGAGGGAAAACCUGAUGCAGCGACGCCGCGUAAAGGAGGAAGUAGCUUGGUAUGUAAACUUCUAUCAGCAGGGGAGAGAGUGACGGUACCUGGCUAAGAAGCACCGGCUAACUACGUG